GUCUACGGCCACGCCACCCUGAACGAGCCCGAUCCCGUCUGAUCUCGGAAGCUAAGCAGGGUCGGGCCUGGUUAGUACUUGGAUGGGAGACCCCCUAGGAAGACUAGGUGCUGUAGGCG
This is a non-coding RNA of Pteropus alecto (black flying fox), 119 nucleotides long. Lineage: Eukaryota; Metazoa; Chordata; Mammalia; Chiroptera; Pteropodidae. The record is from Rfam.